RNAcentral lists this unclassified non-coding RNA (194 nucleotides) under uncultured Hydnaceae. RNAcentral describes it as "sequence contains ITS1". Lineage: Eukaryota; Fungi; Basidiomycota; Agaricomycetes; Cantharellales; Hydnaceae. The record is from RNAcentral.
AUGAAACUUGGGAGAAUUGUUGCUGGCGCAAGCAUUGUGCACGUUCUCCCUUAAUCCAUUCAACACCUGUGCACUCUGAGGGAGAGAAAGACUCUUAUUCGGUCUUAGAUCGAAUGUUUGUUUCUCUUUCCCUCCUUUUAAAAACAAACUCUGAUAAUCGAAUGUUCAUUAGGCCGAAAGGCUAUAUAAUAAAA